RNAcentral lists this ribosomal RNA (477 nucleotides) under uncultured bacterium. RNAcentral's name for it is "partial 16S ribosomal RNA". It matches the Rfam family "Bacterial small subunit ribosomal RNA", at positions 29 to 523 of the family's 1533-position model. The record is from RNAcentral.
AGUGAACGCUGGCGGCGUGCCUAACACAUGCAAGUCGAACGAUGAUGGAGGAGCUUGCUCUUCCUGAUUAGUGGCGCACGGGUGAGUAAUGCAUAGAUAAUGUGCCCCUUAGUUCGGGAUAGCCACUGGAAACGGUGAUUAAUACCGGAUACUCCUUCUUGUCCUAAGAUAAGUCGGGAAAGUUUUUCGCUAAGGGAUCAGUCUAUGUUCCAUCAGUUAGUUGGUGAGGUAACGGCUCACCAAGACAAUGACGGAUAUCUGGUUUGAGAGGAUGAUCAGACACAAUGGAACUGAGACACGGUCCAGACUCCUACGGGAGGCAGCAGUGAGGAAUAUUGCACAAUGGAAGAAACUCUGAUGCAGCAACGUCGCGUGGAGGAUGACGCAUUUCGGUGUGUAAACUCCUUUUAUUAGGGAAGAUUAUGACGGUACCUAAGGAAUAAUCACCGGCUAACUCCGUGCCAGCCGCCGCAGUAA